AUUGAACGCUGGCGGCAUGCCUUACACAUGCAAGUCGAACGCCCGCCUUGACAGCUUGCUCUCUGAUGGCGAGUGGCGAACGGGGGAGAAAUGCGUCGGGACGUCCCGUGUAAUGCGGGAUAACGCAGCGAGAGAUACGCUAAUACCGCAUACGACCUGGGGGUGAAAGCAGGGGAUCGCAAUUACUUGCGGUAUACCAUCUGCCGAUGUCCGAUUAGGUAGAUGGUGAGGUAAAGGCUCACCAAGGCGACGAUCUGUAGCGGGUCUGAGAGGAUGAACCGCCACACUGGGACUGGGACACGGCCCAGACUCCUACGGGAGGCAGCAGUGGGAAAUUUUGGACAAUGGGGGCAAGCCUGAUCCAGCCAUGCCGCGUGAGUGAAGAAGGCCUUCGGGUUGUAAAGCUCGUGCGGCCGGGAAGAAAUCGCACAGGCUAAUACUCUGUGUGGAUGACGGUACCGGCAUAAGAAGCACCGGCUAACUACGUGCCAGCCGCCGCAGUAA
This 504-nucleotide ribosomal RNA is filed under the name uncultured bacterium. Its description in RNAcentral is "partial 16S ribosomal RNA". It matches the Rfam family "Bacterial small subunit ribosomal RNA", at positions 30 to 523 of the family's 1533-position model. The record is from RNAcentral.